This is a non-coding RNA of Odocoileus virginianus texanus, 352 nucleotides long. The record is from RefSeq and is a predicted model, not a curated record. NCBI's taxonomy places the organism in Eukaryota, Metazoa, Chordata, Mammalia, Artiodactyla, Cervidae.
CCCAUGGAGUGGGGAUGAGCAGAGCUCUGCCCGAAGAGAGGGAGGAAAUAAGAAGUGGCUUCAUGGUCCUGUUAAGGCUCCUGAAAUAGCCCAGAUCUCUUUUAAUAAUUACCUUGUAAGAAAACUUCUGCAGGAAAAAGAACUGAAAAUGACACCAGAACUCACUGCAAAAUGUGUGGUUUAAAGGAUUGACUGCUUCAUCUGUGACAUUUACUGUGUGAUAUAACUGAACAACUAAGUUAAGUGUCGCCAGUUACUUGUCUUCAAAUUGGAAAUAAAAACACUGACUAUAGAAGAUUAUUUUGAAGCUUAGAUGAGAUAGUACAUAAUAAAUAAAAAGUACUUGGGACAG